This 1518-nucleotide ribosomal RNA is filed under the name Atelopus zeteki (golden arrow poison frog). RNAcentral's name for it is "partial 16S ribosomal RNA". It matches the Rfam family "Bacterial large subunit ribosomal RNA", at positions 113 to 2597 of the family's 2925-position model. The record is from RNAcentral. Lineage: Eukaryota; Metazoa; Chordata; Amphibia; Anura; Bufonidae.
UAAGUAUACCGGAAGGUGUUCUUGGAAACGAAAUGUAGCUUAAUUAAAGCAUCUCGCUUACACCGAGAAAAUGUUUACUAAAAUAAACCAUCUCGAGCCAAAAAUCUAGCCAAAUUCUUCCCAUGAACUAAACAAAACUUUAACCAUAAAAUAAACCAUUUUUGCAUUAUCAGUAAAGGAGAUUGAAAAUUUAUUUAGAGCAAUAUAAAAGUACCGUAAGGGAAUAAUGAAAUAAUAAUGAAAAAAAUUUAAGCCCAAAAAAGUAAAGAUUCACACUUGUACCUUUUGUAUCAUGGUUUAACUAGUUUAAUCAAGCAAAAUGAAUUAAAGUUUGACUUCCCGAAACUAAGCGAGCUACUUCGGGGCAGCUAAACGAGCAAACCCAUCUCUGUUGCAAAAUAGUGGGAAGACCCCCAAGUAGAGGUGACAUACCUAACGAGCCUAGUGAUAGCUGGUUGCUCAAGAAAAGGAUUUUAGUCCAACCUAAAACACACACACGCACGUUACCAAGAAAUUAAACCUGUUUUAGAGCCAUUCAAAUAAGGUACAGCCUAUUUGAAAAAGGAAACAACCUACACUAAUGGAUAAAGUCAACCAAAUUACAACUAAGUAGGCCUAAAAGCAGCCACCUUAAAUAAUAGCGUCAAAGCUUAACUGUAUAAAGUUAUAAUCCCAAGACCAUAUCUCAUUCCUUACUUAGUACUGAGCAAUUCUAUAUCCCUAUAGAAAAUUUUAUGUUAAAACUAGUAACAAGAAGUCAAACUUCUCUUAUAUGUAAGUGUAUAUCAAAACGGAUAAACCAUUGACAUUUAACGCCCAUGAAACAAAAGUAGCACCUGCACAAGAAAACUCUACUUUAUUUACCGUUAAUCUAACACAAGUACAUCCCAAGAAAGAUUAAAAGAAAAAGAAGGAACUCGGCAAACUUUAACCUCGCCUGUUUACCAAAAACAUCGCCUCUUGAACCCUAUAAGAGGUCCCGCCUGCCCAGUGAUUAAAUUUAACGGCCGCGGUAUCCUAACCGUGCGAAGGUAGCGUAAUCACUUGUUCUUUAAAUGAGGACUAGUAUGAACGGCAUCACGAAGGUUACACUGUCUCCUUUUUCUAAUCAGUGAAACUAAUCUCCCCGUGAAGAAGCGGGGAUAGUCUAAUAAGACGAGAAGACCCUAUGGAACUUUAAACAAAGUAACAAGUACUAUUAUUUAUUUAUAAAUUUCCGAAUCAAACAUAAUCUAGUAUGAUGAUUACUAGUUUUAGGUUGGGGUGACCGCGGAGAAAAACAUAACCUCCACAUUGAAAGAAAAACUCUAAGCCAAAAGCUACAACUUAAAGCAUCAAUAUACUGACAUUAAUUGACCCAAUUGUAUUGAGCAACGAACCAAGCUACCCUAGGGAUAACAGCGCAAUCCACUUUAAGAGCCCCUAUCGACAAGUGGGUUUACGACCUCGAUGUUGGAUCAGGGUCUCCCAGUGGUGCAGCCGCUACUAAAGGUUCGUUUGUUCAACGAUUAAUACCCU